UUGGCAGCUGGUCGGACAGUCCAGCAGGCAGAAUGACUACAGUGCUUUACUUCCCACGCCGGACUUUGAAAUCUGACUGCCCCACUCGGCCAGGGAGAAAGCAGGGUAUUUAUUAAGGCGCCUUAGAUAGAUCUUUGUACUCAAAAAACAUCCUGUAUAAGUCUCAAACACCUCUUCUCUGCACUUUCCGGAAUAGACUUUUCUUUAAAGGGCAGGAGGGCACAUUAAAUAUCAGAGCACAGGGGACUUUUCUCUGACAUGAUUCUGUCCUGGCUGAAAGAAGGUUUUUGGGGAAAAGACUAUUUCCCCAGUAUGAGCACAGCCUCUAAGAGAUUCCACAAGGGGCAGUGAGUUAGAGAGGGAAAGGAGGGAGGCUGACUCACUGUUUGUUUUCCAAAAAUAAAAACUCAAACCAAACACAGUGAGACUCAGCUAUCCAGCUGGGUAUUCCAAGGAUUAACUGUCUGU
This 468-nucleotide long non-coding RNA is filed under the name Bos taurus (domestic cattle). RNAcentral describes it as "long non-coding RNA NONBTAT017430". The record is from RNAcentral. Lineage: Eukaryota; Metazoa; Chordata; Mammalia; Artiodactyla; Bovidae.